Non-coding RNA from Vicia faba (fava bean), 213 nucleotides. The record is from the annotation of a GenBank genome assembly. Lineage: Eukaryota; Viridiplantae; Streptophyta; Magnoliopsida; Fabales; Fabaceae.
AUGGCUGGGUGUAAAGGUUUGACAAAGAUGAAGUUGAGGAGAAGGAGGAGACAGGUUGCAGUUAGCCGGAAAAUGAAGAAAUUGCAAAGGAUCAUUCCGGGAGGCGACGGUUUGAAGGCGGACGGACUUUUUCUGAGGACGGCGGAGCAUAUCUUGCAGUUGAGGUUGCAACUUAAUGCAUUGCAGGCUCUUACCAAGAUACUCAAUGUCUAG